This 1178-nucleotide long non-coding RNA is filed under the name Numida meleagris (helmeted guineafowl). Its description in RNAcentral is "lncRNA (ENSNMEG00000022701.1)". Lineage: Eukaryota; Metazoa; Chordata; Aves; Galliformes; Numididae. The record is from RNAcentral.
GUUCAAGAAGCGUGUAGAUGCAGUACUAAGGGAUGUGGUUUAGUGGGGAAAUGGUGGUGGUAGGUGGAUGGUGGGACUGGAUGAUCUUGGAGGUCUUUUCCAACCUUGGUGAUAUUAUGAUUCUAUGAACUGAACUGGUGCUUGCCUCUUCAGGCACACUUAGGUGCAUCUGUAUCUGAAUAUCUGUGCUGCUGCCCUUCCCAAUAUAGGGCAGUGCCUGAGCUAUUGCUCUUUAAAUGACAGGGAUGCAUCCUUCCUUAACUUAUUCCUUCUGUGGAGGAGAAGUCUUCUGAGUCCAGAACUCCAAGCAGUGGUGAAUGCCUUGUGGAGAGACGCUGUGGGAAUAUGUUUGAAUCCCCUUCAGACCACGCUGUUCAGUACUGAGGCAUUUAUAACAGGAAGACUACCCAUGGGAAUGGUUCCAGUUCAUCUGAAAGUCUUUCAAAUGAGCUGUGGUGUCCUUGGUCUGACUUGGAUGUGUAGGAGGUGAACCACAGUGUCCUGAGACCACGUGGGAUCUCAGCCAUGGCACAACCAAAGCAAAUGUUGGGAUGGAAGUCAUCCGAUGCGUGAUGGUUCAGAUGGAUUCAAGUUAACGCAACGGUGUGAGGAGUGUGUUUAGAAAUUCCUCCAAAGCCGCUUAGUCAGUUCACACAGGACACAAUUUAGCUCAGGUGAGAGCAGUAUGGAAGUCUAAUUUUCCGUAUGGGCAUUGUUUCUCACACGAUGUAUUUUUAGCCCAGAGAAUGACUUACGUACCUGAAGUACCUGUUUCAGCACAGAGCCAAGUGCUUCACAAACCAGUGGCACGUGCUGGAACCCGUGGGUUAUGUACAAGACACACUGGGUAGAUUUGUUACUGCUGUAAUGGUUGGUGAAAGGGCAACACAGUCACUUCCACUGAGGAGAAUUAUUGUAAAUGAUAUUGUUUAUAAUACCAGACUUGAAUGAAAAUACGGUCUUUUUUCUCUUUUUUCUUUCUUUUCUCCCAAGUCAGAUCAUCUGUUAAGCUGGCCAUGACUAUAUUUUUCUCCUCAUUUUUUUACAUCAACGGAACUGAACACAGUAAAAAUUCUCCGUGGCCUUAAGAGAUCCAAUUUUUCACUUGACCUUUAUAAAAAGUCAAUUUGUGCUUUGUUUCUUUAACAUGAAAUCUAAAAUGCCCUCCAGUCACUUCC